Molecule: transfer RNA, 58 nt
Filed under: Calamaria septentrionalis (Hong Kong dwarf snake)
Lineage: Eukaryota; Metazoa; Chordata; Lepidosauria; Squamata; Calamariidae
Description: tRNA-Ser
Source: RNAcentral
AGAGGGGGUUUAAAGACCUGCUAAUUCUUCAACCUGGAACUAACAUCCAGCCCCCUCU